RNAcentral lists this ribosomal RNA (417 nucleotides) under uncultured Sphingobacteriales bacterium. Its description in RNAcentral is "bacterial SSU rRNA". It matches the Rfam family "Bacterial small subunit ribosomal RNA", at positions 551 to 973 of the family's 1533-position model. The record is from RNAcentral. Lineage: Bacteria; Pseudomonadati; Bacteroidota; Sphingobacteriia; Sphingobacteriales.
UCACUGGGUUUAAAGGGUGCGUAGGCGGGCUGGUAAGUCAGUGGUGAAAUCCCCCAGCUUAACUGGGGAAGUGCCAUUGAUACUGUGGGUCUUGAGUAUAGUGGAGGUAGGCGGAAUGUGUCAUGUAGCGGUGAAAUGCUUAGAUAUGACAUAGAACACCGAUUGCGAAGGCAGCUUACUAAACUGUAAUUGACGCUGAGGCACGAAAGCGUGGGGAUCAAACAGGAUUAGAUACCCUGGUAGUCCACGCCGUAAACGAUGAUUACUCGAUGUUGGCGAUACACAGUCAGCGUCUAAGCGAAAGCGUUAAGUAAUCCACCUGGGGAGUACGCCCGCAAGGGUAAACUCAAAGGAAUUGACGGGGGCCGCACAAGCGGGGAGCAUGUGGUUUAAUUCGAUGCUACGCGAGGAACCUUA